Molecule: transfer RNA, 82 nt
Filed under: Ipomoea nil (Japanese morning glory)
Lineage: Eukaryota; Viridiplantae; Streptophyta; Magnoliopsida; Solanales; Convolvulaceae
Rfam family: tRNA
About the family: Transfer RNA (tRNA) molecules are approximately 80 nucleotides in length.
Source: Rfam by way of RNAcentral
GUUGCUUUGGUUGAGUGGUUAAGAUGUGUGCCUAUUAAGUACAUGGGGUUUCCUCGUGACAAUUCGAUUCUCUCAGGCAACG